Molecule: long non-coding RNA, 854 nt
Organism: Syngnathus acus (greater pipefish)
Lineage: Eukaryota; Metazoa; Chordata; Actinopteri; Syngnathiformes; Syngnathidae
Exons: 2
Source: RefSeq, a predicted model, not a curated record
CAUCAGCUCAGCUAGGGGCGGGUAGGACGAUAAGGCGAGUUGACAACACAGCGUUUCUUUUUUAUCAAUUGUGGCCACUCAAUAUGUCGAAAGUCUGCAUGAAAUGACAACUUUUGGGCUUACUAUCCGUCCCGUCAACUUCUCUCUCUCUCUCUCUGUCAUCUAACUUAGCAUAGCGCAGCGUGCUCCAUCAGAGAUCCUGGGCGAGGGUAAAGUGACAACAUUAUUGUGGGGAAAUGUGUCCAAAAUCACCAGGGUCAUUGACAGCUUAGUCAAUUUUAAAAAGAUUUGUCCACGACAGCCCUAAUGUAUCAUUAAUUUAUAUUUUCUGUACACGACUUUGUCUUUUGCAACCAUAAAUUGGUGCCUACAAUUCCGGAUGGCAAACUCGUCUUCGAGCUACACAGUGGCCACAAUUCAAAACGUUCUGCCCGCAUGUUAAGUCUGGGGCUCAUCUCUUGAUGUCCACACACUUACCAUUGUUCCCAGGGCUGGCCAGCGCGCCGGGCUUGAGGGCACGAUCGAAGCUGGGCGUGGCUACGGAUGAGGGAGGGCAGUUGGCAGAUGGGUCCCUGGGGCUGUGCGGCGGGGUGGGCGAGAUGAGUGGCGGGCCUCGGAUGCCCGGGAUGAGCGGUGCGUCCGGGGGAGGUGCCGAGGGCUGGCCCAACUCCAGCAGAACGCGUUGGCGCUCUCGCUCCAGAUCCUGGCGCCGAAUCAUCUCCUCAAAGGCGCUGAACUGCUCCUGCUCUUGCUGCCGCCGCUGCAUUACGGCCACGCGUUCCCGUUCGGCGUCCAGCGCCCGCUGGCGGGACUGCUGCAGAGCCAGAGCCUCCUCCUCGGCUUUCUGGAAGGAG